CGAAUGUUACUUUAAAUUAAGAAGAUUUAUUUUGCAGAUAAAAGGUGAGUAUAACUCUCAUUCGU
RNAcentral lists this transfer RNA (65 nucleotides) under Oreohelix idahoensis. Its description in RNAcentral is "tRNA-Ala". The record is from RNAcentral. Lineage: Eukaryota; Metazoa; Mollusca; Gastropoda; Stylommatophora; Oreohelicidae.